This 76-nucleotide transfer RNA is filed under the name Gehongia tenuis. RNAcentral describes it as "tRNA-Lys". It matches the Rfam family "tRNA". Rfam says of the family: Transfer RNA (tRNA) molecules are approximately 80 nucleotides in length. Their secondary structure includes four short double-helical elements and three loops (D, anti-codon, and T loops). Lineage: Bacteria; Bacillati; Bacillota; Clostridia; Christensenellales; Christensenellaceae. The record is from RNAcentral.
GCGCCAUUAGCUCAGUUGGUAGAGCACCUGACUCUUAAUCAGGGUGUCCUGGGUUCGAGCCCCCGAUGGCGCACCA